AAUGACAUAAAAGCAAGGUCCGAACUCUUCUUUCAAAGUAGGAAACCCAACACAGCAGUAGACAGGACUAGUAACCCAAUGAAAGUCACACCAACAGAAUAGGUUGCUUGGGAUCCAAGGUAUUUGUGGGCCAUCCUAACUCUACCACAGCUACAACACUGCCAUUUCUACGAAGUAGAGACCGUUAUUUUAAGAUCCUGAGUGUUGGUCUGGCCGGGACCCGAACCACGACCUCCCGCACG
Actinia tenebrosa (Australian red waratah sea anemone) is the source of this 242-nucleotide long non-coding RNA. Lineage: Eukaryota; Metazoa; Cnidaria; Anthozoa; Actiniaria; Actiniidae. The record is from RefSeq and is a predicted model, not a curated record.